Papio anubis (olive baboon) is the source of this 78-nucleotide non-coding RNA. NCBI's taxonomy places the organism in Eukaryota, Metazoa, Chordata, Mammalia, Primates, Cercopithecidae. The record is from Rfam.
CUCCAGGGCAACCGUGGCUUUCGAUUGUUACUGUGGGAACUGGAGGUAACAGUCUACAGCCAUGGUCGCCCCGCAGCA